This is a small nucleolar RNA of Abrus precatorius (Indian licorice), 108 nucleotides long. The record is from RefSeq and is a predicted model, not a curated record. Lineage: Eukaryota; Viridiplantae; Streptophyta; Magnoliopsida; Fabales; Fabaceae.
AAAUUAUGAUGAGGACACCUCCUCAAAAGCUCUCCAAACCGCUCCCAUGUCUCUAAUAAGGAUUUUGCUUUCAUAUUGUUAGAGGCAACAUAUCUCUGUCAUAAGCUU